UAAUUUAUAAUAAUAAAGUUUUAAAUAUUGAUUUGUGGUAUCAAAGUUGAAUAAUGAAAUCAUUAUUUAAAUUAU
RNAcentral lists this transfer RNA (75 nucleotides) under Opisthopatus cinctipes. RNAcentral describes it as "tRNA-His". Lineage: Eukaryota; Metazoa; Onychophora; Udeonychophora; Euonychophora; Peripatopsidae. The record is from RNAcentral.